GACGAACGCUGGCGGCGUGCCUAAUACAUGCAAGUCGAACGCAGUGGGGACGGUUGAGUAACACGUGGGUAACCUCCCAUCAGAGGGGAUAACACUUGGAAACUGGUGCUAAACCGAUACUGAUGGAUGAACCCGCGGUGCAUUAGCUAGUUGGGGAGGUAACGGCUCACCAAGGCCACGAUGCAUAGCCGACCUGAGAGGAUGAUCGGCCACACUGGGACUGAGACACGGCCCAGACUCCUACGGGAGGCAGCAGUAGGGAAUCUUCGGCAAUGGGGGAAAGUCUGACGGAGCAACGCCGCGUGAGUGAAGAAGGUUUUCGGGUCGUAAAGUUCUGUUGUUAGAGAAGCGUUAUCUAACCAGGAAGCAACGGCUAACUACGUGCCAGCAGCCGCGGUAAUUC
This 403-nucleotide ribosomal RNA is filed under the name uncultured bacterium. RNAcentral describes it as "partial 16S ribosomal RNA". It matches the Rfam family "Bacterial small subunit ribosomal RNA", at positions 28 to 526 of the family's 1533-position model. The record is from RNAcentral.